Molecule: ribosomal RNA, 493 nt
Filed under: uncultured beta proteobacterium
Lineage: Bacteria; Pseudomonadati; Pseudomonadota; Betaproteobacteria
Description: bacterial SSU rRNA
Rfam family: Bacterial small subunit ribosomal RNA
Source: RNAcentral
GCUUAACACAUGCAAGUCGAACGGCAGCGCGAAGGAAGCUUGCUUUCUUUGGCGGCGAGUGGCGAACGGGUGAGUAAUGUAUCGGAACGUGCCCAGUAGCGGGGGAUAACUGGCCGAAAGGUCAGCUAAUACCGCAUACGCCCUACGGGGGAAAGGGGGGGAUCGCAAGACCUCUCACUAUUGGAGCGGCCGAUAUCGGAUUAGCUAGUUGGUGGGGUAAAGGCCUACCAAGGCGACGAUCCGUAGCUGGUUUGAGAGGACGACCAGCCACACUGGGACUGAGACACGGCCCAGACUCCUACGGGAGGCAGCAGUGGGGAAUUUUGGACAAUGGGGGGAACCCUGAUCCAGCCAUCCCGCGUGUGCGAUGAAGGCCUUCGGGUUGUAAAGCACUUUUAGCAGGAAAGAAUGGUCGCGUGUUAAUACCGCGCGAUUGUGACGUUACUUGCAGAAAAAGCACCGGCUAACUCCGUGCCAGCAGCCGCGGUAAUAC